GGGGAUGCAAGGCAUAGACAGGAAGCCUUUCUCUAUUGAUGCAUGUCGAGCACGGACGUAAUCUCGUAAAAAUUCGUUCACAUGUUAAUUGCAAAAUUAGCUUCCAAGGUGAAAGAUUCUGUUUCUCCAUACUUCGGUAUGAAGGACUUUGCUUUCGCUCCAGCUUUCGCUUAGGCGUGGUUGGCGUCUCUCUCAUAGACUUCCGAUAUAUGAGUAGAGGUGUAAUAUUAUCGGGACUAAGGAAAUAUCCGCUCGCAUACUUCCCUAACAAUCUAGAGCUCGAUUGGAUAAUAUUUUGCUCAUUUAAGAAUUAUUUAAUUUAAACCAAAAAAUGUGCUACACAUGUAGACUUCCUUGGGAAAACUUUCUGCACACGAGUUCAAUUCUCGUCAUCUCCACAC
Molecule: transfer-messenger RNA, 401 nt
Filed under: Minisyncoccia
Lineage: Bacteria; Bacillati; Minisyncoccota
Description: UBA9973 sp000993955 Standard tmRNA
Rfam family: transfer-messenger RNA
About the family: Bacterial tmRNA, also known as 10Sa RNA or SsrA, is named for its dual tRNA and mRNA-like properties. Its role is to liberate the mRNA from a stalled ribosome. To accomplish this part of the tmRNA is used as a reading frame that ends in a translation stop signal.
Source: RNAcentral